This 497-nucleotide ribosomal RNA is filed under the name uncultured haloarchaeon. Its description in RNAcentral is "bacterial SSU rRNA". It matches the Rfam family "Archaeal small subunit ribosomal RNA", at positions 333 to 829 of the family's 1478-position model. Lineage: Archaea; Methanobacteriati; Methanobacteriota; Halobacteria; Halobacteriales; Halobacteriaceae. The record is from RNAcentral.
CAGCAGGCGCGAAACCUUUACACUGCACGAAGGUGCGAUAAGGGGACUCCGAGUGCGAGGGCAUACAGUCCUCGCUAUUGUGUACCGUAGGGUGGUACACGACCAAGAGCUGGGCAAGACCGGUGCCAGCCGCCGCGGUAAUACCGGCAGCUCGAGUGAUGGCCGAUUUUAUUGGGCCUAAAGCGUCCGUAGCUGGCCCUGCAAGUCCGUCGGGAAAUCCACUCGCCUAACGAGUGGGCGUCCGGCGGAAACUACAGGGCUUGGGACCGGAAGACUUGAGGGGUACGUCUGGGGUAGGAGUGAAAUCCUGUAAUCCUGGACGGACCGCCGAUGGCGAAAGCACCUCAAGACGACGGAUCCGACAGUGAGGGACGAAAGCUAGGGUCUCGAACCGGAUUAGAUACCCGGGUAGUCCUAGCCGUAAACGAUGUUCGCUAGAUGUGGCACAGGCUACGUGCCUGUGCUGUGUCGUAGGGAAGCCGAGAAGCGAACCGCCU